CCAGGAAAUUAUAAAAAUAUAUUAUAUGUAUUUUUUUUGUUUAUACAACUAAAAAUAAAAUAUUAAUUGCUACAUAGAAUCAAGAUUAAUGAGUUGUGAAACUCAGCUCUCUCUCUCUCUCUCUCUCAUCCUUAUCAGCAUCCGCAUGAACUCAAAGCCCUUCACCUGAAUAAGAGGAAAUUAAGCAGUACUAUCAUCAAAACACGCAUAUAUUAGCUGAAAUCAUGAUCGUAUAAUUAAAAUGGGUCCAAAUUGAUAAAUUAAAAAAAGCAAGAAUCUAGCGUGACUAUAUGGGAGAGAGAGAGACAGACAGAGGUGUAAAAAUAGUAUGCUAUAAGAAGUAAAAAGAAUAUAGUUAGAGAGGUACAGACACAAGAUAAUAAGAAUAUCUGUGUAUGUAUAUAUGUCUCCGGAGAGGAAGGAGUGAUGCUGUCAGAGCAUGACCUAGUUCGGGCUCAUUUUUCAUUUCUUUUAUAGAAACAGUUUCAUCUUCUUUCUAGAAGAAAGCGAAGAAGAAACAAACUAUCCCGACGUAGAUCAUGCUGGCAGCUUCACUUAUUCCUUUCCAAGAUACUUCAUCAAAUCAAGAAGCAGCUGCGAGCAUAUAAGAGAGAAAAGAGAGAGAGAGAGAAUUU
RNAcentral lists this long non-coding RNA (635 nucleotides) under Salvia miltiorrhiza (redroot sage). RNAcentral's name for it is "long non-coding RNA (SMIL_LNC006115)". Lineage: Eukaryota; Viridiplantae; Streptophyta; Magnoliopsida; Lamiales; Lamiaceae. The record is from RNAcentral.